CCCAGACUCCUACGGGAGGCAGCAGUGGGGAAUAUUGGGCAAUGGGCGCAAGCCUGACCCAGCAACGCCGCGUGAAGGAAGAAGGCUUUCGGGUUGUAAACUUCUUUUCUCAGGGACGAAGAAAGUGACGGUACCUGAGGAAUAAGCCACGGCUAACUACGUGCCAGCAGCCGCGGUAAUACGUAGGGGGCAAGCGUUAUCCGGAUUUACUGGGUGUAAAGGGAGCGUAGACGGCAGGGCAAGUCUGGAGUGAAAGGCAGGGGCCCAACCCCUGGACUGCUCUGGAAACUGUCCGGCUGGAGUGCAGGAGAGGUAAGUGGAAUUCCUAGUGUAGCGGUGAAAUGCGUAGAUAUACGGAGGAACACCAGUGGCGAAGGCGGAUUGCUGGACAGUAACUGACGCUGAGGCGCGAAAGCGUGGGGAGCAAACAGGAUUAGAUACCCCCGUAC
Molecule: ribosomal RNA, 449 nt
Filed under: uncultured bacterium
Lineage: Bacteria
Description: bacterial SSU rRNA
Rfam family: Bacterial small subunit ribosomal RNA
Source: RNAcentral